RNAcentral lists this ribosomal RNA (264 nucleotides) under uncultured bacterium. RNAcentral's name for it is "partial 16S ribosomal RNA". It matches the Rfam family "Bacterial small subunit ribosomal RNA", at positions 793 to 1055 of the family's 1533-position model. The record is from RNAcentral.
GUCCACGCCGUAAACGAUGGAUGCUAGCCGUCAGCAAGCAUGCUUGUUGGUGGCGCAGCUAACGCAUUAAGCAUCCCGCCUGGGGAGUACGGCCGCAAGGUUAAAACUCAAAGGAAUUGACGGGGGCCCGCACAAGCGGUGGAGCAUGUGGUUUAAUUCGACGCAACGCGCAGAACCUUACCAACCCUUGACAUGCCCGGUCGGUUUCCAGAGAUGGAUUCCUCCCAGCAAUGGGCCGGGACACAGGUGCUGCAUGGCUGUCGU